UUGGAGAGAGGAAGCUGCAGCCAGCGGCUGGAAGAGCUGGUGCAAGCGAGAUAUCGGGAUGGCAGGCAAAUCCACCAUCCGAAACGAGAAGGCGUGAAGCGUACGGAAAGCUACGGCGAGUACGGAAGGCAGUGGAGGAACUUCCAAGAAAAGUUUCUAACGUUAAGUAUAUAUGGCCCGUACCGAAAAUGGACACACAUGGGUGAGGAGAGAAUCCUAAGGUGAGCGAGAGAACUAUAGCUAAGGAACUCUGCAAAAUGACUCCGUAACUUAGGGAGAAGGAGUGCUCAUAGAGAUAUGAGCCGCAGUGAAACGGCCCAAGCGACUGUUUACCAAAAACACAGCUCUCUGCUAAGCCGCAAGGCGAAGUAUAGGGGGUGACGCCUGCCCGGUGCUGGAAGGUUAAGGGGAGGGGUUAACGCAAGUGAAGCCCUGAACUGAAGCCCCAGUAAACGGCGGCCGUAACUAUAACGGUCCUAAGGUAGCGAAAUUCCUUGUCAGGUAAGUUCUGACCCGCACGAAAGGCGUAACGAUUUGGACGCUGUCUCAGCUGUAGACUCGGUGAAGUCUUAGUACCUGUGAAGAUGCAGGUUACCCGCGACUAGACGGAAAGACCCCAUGGAGCUUCACUGCGGGUUGAUAUUGGGAUUUGAUGCAGCAUGUACAGGAUAGGUAGGAGGCAAAGAGAUGGAUACGCCAGUAUUCAAGGAGCCGCUGUUGGGAUACUACCCCUGUUGUAUUGGAUUUCUAACCGGACGACGUAGAGCCGUUGACGGGACAGUGUCAGUCGGGCAGUUUGACUGGGGCGGUCGCCUCCCAAAGAGUAACGGAGGCGCCCAAAGAUACCCUCAGCUUGGAUGGAAACCAAGCGCAGAGUGCAAAGGCAAAAGGGUGUUUGACUGCGAGACCCACAAGUCGAGCAGGGACGAAAGUCGGGCUUAGUGAUCCGGCGGUGCUGAAUGGAAAGGCCGUCGCUCAACGGAUAAAAGCUACCCUGGGGAUAACAGGCUGAUCUCCCCCAAGAGUUCACAUCGACGGGGAGGUUUGGCACCUCGAUGUCGGCUCAUCGCAUCCUGGAGCUGAAGUCGGUUCCAAGGGUUGGGCUGUUCGCCCAUUAAAGCGGUACGCGAGCUGGGUUCAGAACGUCGUGAGACAGUUCGGUCCCUAUCUGUCGUGGGCGCAGGAAAUUUGAGAAGAGCUGUCCUCAGUACGAGAGGACCGGGAUGGACGCAUCAAUGGUGGACCAGUUGUCACGCCAGUGGCAUAGCUGGGUAGCUAAAUGCGGAAGGGAUAAACGCUGAAGGCAUCUAAGUGUGAAACCCACUUCAAGAUGAGAUUUCCCAUUGCGCAAGCAAGUAAGACCCCUUAAAGACGAUAAGGUAGAUAGGUCAGGAGUGUAAGCAUGGUGACAUGUUAAGCGGACUGAUACUAAUAGGUCGAGGGCUUGAUC
RNAcentral lists this ribosomal RNA (1450 nucleotides) under metagenome. RNAcentral describes it as "bacterial LSU rRNA". It matches the Rfam family "Bacterial large subunit ribosomal RNA", at positions 1472 to 2925 of the family's 2925-position model. The record is from RNAcentral.